RNAcentral lists this unclassified non-coding RNA (243 nucleotides) under plant metagenome. Its description in RNAcentral is "partial contains small subunit ribosomal RNA, internal transcribed spacer 1, and 5.8S ribosomal RNA". The stretch from base 195 to 243 matches the Rfam family "5.8S ribosomal RNA", at positions 1 to 49 of the family's 154-position model. The record is from RNAcentral.
UUUCCGUAGGUGAACCUGCGGAAGGAUCAUUAACAUGUAAUUCAGUCCCCUUGGCUGUGUUAUAUAUAUACCCACUCUGUGUACCUUCUCCUGUUGCUUCCGCUGGGUGUGUAAUUCGCCCGGCGGAAGGGUAAAAAUAACCUCUGAGUAUUGAUGAAAUCUCUGUCUGAACCGAAUAGAAAGAAAAAUGUUAAAACUUUCAGCAACGGAUCUCUUGGUUCUCGCAUCGAUGAAGACCGCAGC